UAUGUGAUCGUCUCUCGCAUAUCAAUAAGCGGAGGAAAAGAAACUAACAAGGAUUCCCCUAGUAACGGCGAGUGAAGCGGGAAGAGCUCAAAUUUGAAAUCUUAAAGGGUUUCCCUUUACGAAUUGUAGUUUAAAGAAGUGUUUUCUGUUGAGGUUUUGGUAAAAGUUCUUUGGAAUAGGACAUCAUAGAGGGUGAGAAUCCCGUAUUUGACCUUUACUUUCAACUUUGUGAUACACUUUCAAAGAGUCGGAUUGUUUGGGAAUGCAGUCCAAAAUGGGUGGUAAAUUUCAUCUAAAGCUAAAUAUUGGCGAGAGACCGAUAGCGAACAAGUACCGUGAGGGAAAGAUGAAAAGAACUUUGAAAAGAGAGUUAAACAGUACGUGAAAUUGUCAAAAGGGAAGCGUUUGACACCAGUGUUGUUUUUCUGAAAAUCAAUUAAAGAACUGUUUAUGCUAAGCUGUUUAGACUUUAUCAGCUAACUGUUUAGUUUUGAGCUUUUCUUUAAUGCACUUUUCAGUUAACAAGACAACAUCAAUUUCUUUUGCUGUAAAAAAGCUUGAGGAAGGUGGCUUGAGAUUCGUCUUAAGUGUUUAUAGCCUCUUGCCUAUGCAGUCGGAGAGAUUGAGGUCUGCAGCGUAGAUCCUUCGGGGCUAAAUGCAUUUGUGCUAAGUUAUAGCAUUUUAUAGACAACUUGUUGACUAUGAUUUGUCUUGUAGCUUACUCGCUUAUGUUAUUUUACCUACGCUUAGGAUGUUGACUGAUAUGUAGUCGU
This 773-nucleotide ribosomal RNA is filed under the name uncultured Neocallimastigales. RNAcentral describes it as "partial large subunit ribosomal RNA". It matches the Rfam family "Eukaryotic large subunit ribosomal RNA", at positions 24 to 643 of the family's 3401-position model. The record is from RNAcentral. Lineage: Eukaryota; Fungi; Neocallimastigomycota; Neocallimastigomycetes; Neocallimastigales.